ACGCUCACAAACUGCUUCAGUCGUUCCAAAUACUGAUUGUAAAGCUCCACGUCGUUGUGACCCGCUCCCUGAAACCAAAUAUACAGAUGUAAAUUUGUUGACACCAUUUUUCAUUGUUAGUCUUGGACAUCGUUCGUAAAUCGCUAGACCAUGGCUAAAGUCUAUAACUUCGUCUUCCGUCCCGUGGAUGACCAGAACAGGCGACGUCACUUUUGGAACUUUAUCUAUACUGUAACGGAAGAAAAGAAAAACAAUAAUAUCGAAGAAAAAAAUUCAUCGAAACCUGAUGAGAUCACAUUUUUAUUUCACGCACGUUAUCAUAAUCUGAUCUCUGUCUCACAUCUUUCAUCGAUAAUUAAUGUAUGAAGAAAGGUGCGGAAAUAGAAUACAUAUUAAGUGAAUAAAUGAUUGGCGUUCCAGUCAAACGCGACAACUUAUUUUUGCAUCACAUAUAACGUUGUACACGGUAGGUAAGGUAUAUAUGUCCCCAGUGCAAAUAUAUCCAAGGCAAAGUGUAAAAUGCUUAGUACAAACAAAUGCGCUGUACACAUAACUGCUUGCUGUGUCCAUGGAUAUACGCGGGUGACACUACAUAAGAAGUUUGAUUCACUCUGCCUACUGUUACUUCGUUCGUCUGUAGGUAGUUUUGAAUAUCUGUAAAAGGUGUCCCAGAAAAUGUAUGCCAGACUACGUAUGCUAUUUCUCUGCCUCUAACACAAAAGAAUAUUACGUGGAUACUUUCACAUUAGCUGUACUUGAUAUUCAUACAAUGUAUGUGUCUAGCAAAGAUAUUAAUUGGCGCAAUGCAAAUGUACGAAAAUCAAAUCGCUAAUGAAAGAUUGAAUAGUAGAAAAGUGACUCAAGAUAUCAGUUUAGACCGAGUAUCUUGGAGAGGAUUAAUUGGAGGACAAAAAACACCUUCAUCAUUCUGCAUUAAUCGUUCUUAGGAUUCUUUAAACAAUGAUUCAUUACGUUUGAAUAUCAGAGCUGUGCGUCAAUGAUAACUUUGAGAAUUGAUUGUGAAUAACCGUACAGCAUGAAUAAUUAUCUCUACCCCGGAUUCUACCAUGUGGUAGUACGGGGUACUAAUAGUUUUAUUAAUGAUGGUGAAAGAACAAAGGAAUAAAACGAAAAGUCAA
This is a long non-coding RNA of Neodiprion virginianus, 1139 nucleotides long. RefSeq lists it as uncharacterized. The record is from RefSeq and is a predicted model, not a curated record. NCBI's taxonomy places the organism in Eukaryota, Metazoa, Arthropoda, Insecta, Hymenoptera, Diprionidae. The transcript is spliced from 3 exons.